GGUUUUUACAAAACUAGAGAACUACAGAUGUUUUGUUCAGGGACACCAUGGGAAAAACGAACAUUUGCAAGGUAGACUGGGAGACUGGCCACAUUUCUGGUGUUUCCAAAUGACUGGCUUAAAAAAUGAAUUUUUGUUUUUUUGUUACAGGGGAUCAAACUCAGGUCCUUGUGCUUGCGGGGCAGGCAGCGGCACCACUGCGCUAAAUCCCUGGCCCCUAAAAAAUGAAUUUUUGAAGAAUAAUCAAAAGGAUUCAAAUAAGAGGAAAUAUUUUCUUAACUCAUCCCAGGAGACCAGACUUACCCUGAUAUGGAGGCCCAAAAAAGACACCGCAAGAAAAGCAAACUACAGAUCACUACCUGCUGCAAACACAGAGGCAAAAGUCCUCAACAGGAUACCAGCAAAUCAAACUCGGCAGUGUGGAUUUCCUUUCUCUGUGUCACACAUUAAAAGUGGAGAAUCAUAAUGAUAAUCCCAUUUGGAUUUAUGAACAGUUGAAUAGACUAUUGAAAAGAUGCCUUAAUCAAGAAAUAAAUUCACUACAGAAUUGCAUUCAGGGUGGGACAACUACCUUUACCCAUGGAUUUUCUAUCGCUUCAGGGAAAACUCUUCGAUGUUUGAAUUAAGCACCACAUCUGGAAACAAAAGAAAACGAUUACUUUCACUAAGUGCUAUCUAUGUCUCUAGGACUAUGGACAAAAUUUGCUUACAUUCUGUCAAAAUUCCAUCCACUUUUGAAGCAGGUUACAGGCCAGGCUGGAGUCAAGGGAGAAGAAAUAGCGUCUACUUCUUGGUGGGAAGACCAGUAUGCACAUAUAGGGAGAGAAGAAUCAGCAC
Molecule: long non-coding RNA, 837 nt
Filed under: Heterocephalus glaber (naked mole-rat)
Lineage: Eukaryota; Metazoa; Chordata; Mammalia; Rodentia; Bathyergidae
Description: lncRNA (ENSHGLG00000034362.1)
Source: RNAcentral